UGGGGAAUAUUGGACAAUGGGCGAAAGCCUGAUCCAGCCAUGCCUCGUGUGUGAAGAAGGUCUUCGGAUUGUAAAGCACUUUAAGUUGGGAGGAAGGGCAGUAAGCGAAUACCUUGCUGUUUUGACGUUACCGACAGAAUAAGCACCGGCUAACUCUGUGCCAGCAGCCGCGGUAAUACAGAGGGUGCAAGCGUUAAUCGGAAUUACUGGGCGUAAAGCGCGCGUAGGUGGUUCGUUAAGUUGAAUGUGAAAGCCCCGGGCUCAACCUGGGAACUGCAUCCAAAACUGGCGGGCUAGAGUAGGGCAGAGGGUGGUGGAAUUUCCUGUGUAGCGGUGAAAUGCGUAGAUAUAGGAAGGAACACCAGUGGCGAAGGCGACCACCUGGGCUCAUACUGACACUGAGGUGCGAAAGCGUGGGGAGCAAACAGG
RNAcentral lists this ribosomal RNA (429 nucleotides) under Pseudomonadota bacterium. RNAcentral describes it as "Proteobacteria bacterium partial 16S ribosomal RNA". It matches the Rfam family "Bacterial small subunit ribosomal RNA", at positions 355 to 776 of the family's 1533-position model. Lineage: Bacteria; Pseudomonadati; Pseudomonadota. The record is from RNAcentral.